This 875-nucleotide ribosomal RNA is filed under the name uncultured bacterium. Its description in RNAcentral is "bacterial SSU rRNA". It matches the Rfam family "Bacterial small subunit ribosomal RNA", at positions 8 to 878 of the family's 1533-position model. The record is from RNAcentral.
AGAGUUUGAUCAUGGCUCAGAUUGAACGCUGGCGGCAGGCUUAACACAUGCAAGUCGAGCGGGGAAAGGUAGCUUGCUACCUUACCUAGCGGCGGACGGGUGAGUAAUGCUUAGGAAUCUGCCUAUUAGUGGGGGACAACAUUUCGAAAGGAAUGCUAAUACCGCAUACGCCCUACGGGGGAAAGCAGGGGACCUUCGGGCCUUGCGCUAAUAGAUGAGCCUAAGUCGGAUUAGCUAGUUGGUGGGGUAAAGGCCUACCAAGGCGACGAUCUGUAGCGGGUCUGAGAGGAUGAUCCGCCACACUGGGACUGAGACACGGCCCAGACUCCUACGGGAGGCAGCAGUGGGGAAUAUUGGACAAUGGGGGGAACCCUGAUCCAGCCAUGCCGCGUGUGUGAAGAAGGCCUUUUGGUUGUAAAGCACUUUAAGCGAGGAGGAGGCUACCGAGAUUAAUACUCUUGGAUAGUGGACGUUACUCGCAGAAUAAGCACCGGCUAACUCUGUGCCAGCAGCCGCGGUAAUACAGAGGGUGCAAGCGUUAAUCGGAUUUACUGGGCGUAAAGCGCGCGUAGGUGGCCAAUUAAGUCAAAUGUGAAAUCCCCGAGCUUAACUUGGGAAUUGCAUUCGAUACUGGUUGGCUAGAGUAUGGGAGAGGAUGGUAGAAUUCCAGGUGUAGCGGUGAAAUGCGUAGAGAUCUGGAGGAAUACCGAUGGCGAAGGCAGCCAUCUGGCCUAAUACUGACACUGAGGUGCGAAGCAUGGGGAGCAAACAGGAUUAGAUACCCUGGUAGUCCAUGCCGUAAACGAUGUCUACUAGCCGUUGGGGCCUUUGAGGCUUUAGUGGCGCAACUAACGCGAUAAGUAGACCGCCUGGGG